GUAGCAAUACUCGCUGGCGACCGGCAAACGGGUGCGGAACACGUACACAAUCUACCUUUAUCUGGGGUAUAGCCCGAAGAAAUUCGGAUUAAUCCCCCAUAAGAUAUUAGAGUGGCAUCACUUAAAUAUUAAAACUCCGGUGGAUAAAGAUGAGUGUGCGUCCCAUUAGCUAGUUGGUAGGGUAACGGCCUACCAAGGCAACGAUGGGUAGCUGGUGUGAGAGCACGACCAGCCACACGGGCACUGAGACACGGGCCCGACUCCUACGGGAGGCAGCAGUGAGGAAUAUUGGUCAAUGGACGCAAGUCUGAACCAGCCAUGCCGCGUGAAGGAUGAAGGCCUUCUGGGUUGUAAACUUCUUUUAUUGGGGAAGAAAAUUACGGUUACUACUGUAACCGACGGUACCCAAGGAAUAAGCACCGGCUAACUCCGUGCCAGCAGCCGCGGUAAUACGGAGGGUGCAAGCGUUAUCCGGAUUCACUGGGUUUAAAGGGUGUGUAGGCGGGCAUUUAAGUCAG
RNAcentral lists this ribosomal RNA (518 nucleotides) under uncultured bacterium. Its description in RNAcentral is "bacterial SSU rRNA". It matches the Rfam family "Bacterial small subunit ribosomal RNA", at positions 76 to 591 of the family's 1533-position model. The record is from RNAcentral.